RNAcentral lists this ribosomal RNA (250 nucleotides) under uncultured prokaryote. RNAcentral describes it as "partial 16S ribosomal RNA". It matches the Rfam family "Bacterial small subunit ribosomal RNA", at positions 524 to 773 of the family's 1533-position model. The record is from RNAcentral.
UACGUAGGUGGCAAGCGUUGUCCGGAAUGACUGGGCGUAAAGCGUACGUAGGUGGUUAUUCAAGUCGGUAGUGAAAUCCCGGGGCUCAACUCCGGUGCUACUACCGAGACUGUUUAACUUGAGUGCAGGAGGGGUAAGUGGAAUUCCUAGUGUAGCGGUGGAAUGCGUAGAUAUUAGGAAGAACACCGGUGGCGAAGGCGACUUACUGGACUGUAACUGACACUGAGGUACGAAAGCGUGGGGAGCAAAC